This 152-nucleotide ribosomal RNA is filed under the name Metazoa environmental sample. RNAcentral describes it as "partial small subunit ribosomal RNA". It matches the Rfam family "Eukaryotic small subunit ribosomal RNA", at positions 1296 to 1460 of the family's 1831-position model. The record is from RNAcentral. Lineage: Eukaryota; Metazoa.
AGUUCGUGGAGCGAUCUGUCUGGUUAAUUCCGAUAACGAACGAGACUCUCGCCUGCUAAAUAGACGGCGUCGGCCCCCCGGGCCGGCGGCCGCACAUGCUUCUUAGAGGGACAAGCGGCGUUCAGCCGCGCGAAGCUGAGAGCGAUAACAGG